UGAUCCUACGGGGGGCAGCAGUGGGGAAUAUUGGGCAAUGGGCGCAAGCCUGACCCAGCAACGCCGCGUGAAGGAAGAAGGCUUUCGGGUUGUAAACUUCUUUUGUCAGGGACGAAGCAAGUGACGGUACCUGACGAAUAAGCCACGGCUAACUACGUGCCAGCAGCCGCGGUAAUACGUAGGUGGCAAGCGUUAUCCGGAUUUAUUGGGUGUAAAGGGCGUGUAGGCGGGAAUGCAAGUCAGAUGUGAAAUCCGGGGGCUCAACCCCUGAACUGCAUUUGAAACUGUCGUUCUUGAGUACUGGG
This 305-nucleotide ribosomal RNA is filed under the name uncultured bacterium. RNAcentral describes it as "bacterial SSU rRNA". It matches the Rfam family "Bacterial small subunit ribosomal RNA", at positions 334 to 653 of the family's 1533-position model. The record is from RNAcentral.